RNAcentral lists this long non-coding RNA (461 nucleotides) under Pan troglodytes (chimpanzee). RNAcentral describes it as "long non-coding RNA NONPTRT001221". The record is from RNAcentral. Lineage: Eukaryota; Metazoa; Chordata; Mammalia; Primates; Hominidae.
AGUCGCAAUGAUUUGUAUGAUAGCUGCUAGCCCAAGAGAGAGUUCCAGAAGAGGGCUACCUGACAGGUGCUGUGGCAUUUAGAAGAGGAAUGGAGCCACUGUCAACGCACAGCUUGCAGGUGAGCAGGAGAGUCAGUCUAAGAAGGAAAUGUGAUGAUGGAAACAGAGGUUGGAAGAUGGAAGGGGACCCAGAGUCAAGGAAUGCAGGUAGAAAAGAAAAGCCUGGAUUCUCCCCUAAAGCCUCCAGAUGGAACACAGCCUUGCCUCCACCUUGAUUUCAGGACUUCUUACCCCAAGAAUCGUAAGCUAAUACAUUUGUUUUUGUUUUUGUUUUUGUUUUCUUUGAGAUGGAGUCUUGCUCUGCUGCCCAGGCUGGAGUGCAGUGGAGCGAUCUUGGCUCACUGCAACGUCCAUCUUCUGGGUUCAAGCGAUUCUCCUGCUUCAGCCUCUCAAGUAGCUGG